Molecule: ribosomal RNA, 253 nt
Filed under: uncultured bacterium
Lineage: Bacteria
Description: partial 16S ribosomal RNA
Rfam family: Bacterial small subunit ribosomal RNA
Source: RNAcentral
UACAGAGGGUGCGAACGUUGUUCGGAUUUACUGGGCGUAAAGCGCGUGUAGGCGGUCUCGCAAGUCGGGUGUGAAAGCCCCGGGCUCAACCUGGGAAUUGCACUCGAUACUGGAUAGCUAGAGUUCGGCAGAGGGAAGCGGAAUUUCCGGUGUAGCGGUGAAAUGCGUAGAUAUCGGAAGGAACAUCAGUGGCGAAAGCGGCUUCCUGGACCAGAACUGACGAUCAGGCUCGAAAGCGUGGGGAGCAAACAGG